This 319-nucleotide ribosomal RNA is filed under the name uncultured eukaryote. RNAcentral's name for it is "partial 18S ribosomal RNA". It matches the Rfam family "Eukaryotic small subunit ribosomal RNA", at positions 1470 to 1796 of the family's 1831-position model. The record is from RNAcentral.
CCCUUAGAUGUUCUGGGCUGCACGCGUGCUACAAUGGCGUUUCCAGCAAGUCUGCGAACCCGAGAGGGCCAGCGGAUCUUCGAAUUGGCGUCGUGAUCGGGACAGUCGAUUGCAAUUAUUUGACUCAAACGAGGAAUUCCUUGUAAUCGCGAUUCAUCAUAUCGCGCUGAAUACGUCCCUGCCCUUUGUACACACCGCCCGUCGCUCCUACCGAUUGAGCGAUCCGGUAAAUGUUUUGGAUUGGUGCCGGGGCGGCUAGCUGCCGGUCGCUACGAAAUUUUGGGAACCUUAUCGCUUAGAGGAAGGAAAAGUCGUAACA